RNAcentral lists this ribosomal RNA (759 nucleotides) under uncultured bacterium. Its description in RNAcentral is "bacterial SSU rRNA". It matches the Rfam family "Bacterial small subunit ribosomal RNA", at positions 564 to 1323 of the family's 1533-position model. The record is from RNAcentral.
AGCGCGCGCAGGCGGCCUUUUAAGUUGGAUGUGAAAGCCUAUGGCUCAACCAUAGAACUGCAUCCAAAACUAUCAGGCUAGAGUGUGGGAGAGGAAGAUGGAAUUAGUCGAGUAGGGGUAAAAUCCGUAGAGAUAACUAGGAAUACCAAAAGCGAAGGCAAUCUUCUGGAACACUACUGACGCUGAGGCGCGAAAGCGUGGGGAGCAAACAGGAUUAGAUACCCUGGUAGUCCACGCCCUAAACGAUGAAUGUUAGUCGUCGGGAAGCUAGUCUUUUCGGUGAUGCAGCUAACGCAUUAAACAUUCCGCCUGGGGAGUACGGUCGCAAGAUUAAAACUCAAAGGAAUAGACGGGGACCCGCACAAGUGGUGGAGCAUGUGGUUUAAUUCGAAGAUACGCGAAGAACCUUACCUGGCCUUGACAUUGAUAGAAUCCUUUAGAGAUAGAGGAGUGCCCUUCGGGGAACUAGAAAACAGGUGCUGCACGGCUGUCGUCAGCUCGUGUCGUGAGAUGUUGGGUUAAGUCCCGCAACGAGCGCAACCCUCGUCACUAGUUACUAACGGUUCGGCCGAGGACUCUAGUGAGACUGCCUUCGCAAGGAGGAGGAAGGUGAGGACGACGUCAAGUCAUCAUGGCCCUUACGGCCAGGGCAACACACGUGCUACAAUGGUUAGGACAAUGAGACGCGAUACCGCGAGGUGGAGCAAAUCUAUAAACCUAAUCUCAGUUCGGGUUGUUCUCUGCAACUCGAGAGCAUGA